AGUAGUUUGAUCAGUGGCUCGAGGACGAACGCUGGCGGCGUGCCUAACACAUGCAAGUCGAGCGGGGAUUGCUUUGGAAGGUCUUCGGACUGGAAGGAGUAAUUCCAGCGGCGGACGGGUGAGUAACGCGUGAGCAACCUGCCUUCAACAGGGGGAUAACGCAUCGAAAGAUGUGCUAAUACCGCGUAAGACCACAGGAUCACAUGGUUCAGGGGUCAAAGGAGCAAUCCGGUCGAAGAUGGGCUCGCGUCCGAUUAGCUAGUUGGUGAGAUAACAGCCCACCAAGGCGACGAUCGGUAGCCGACCUGAGAGGGUGAUCGGCCACAUUGGAACUGAGAGACGGUCCAGACUCC
Molecule: ribosomal RNA, 353 nt
Filed under: uncultured Eubacteriales bacterium
Lineage: Bacteria; Bacillati; Bacillota; Clostridia; Eubacteriales
Description: bacterial SSU rRNA
Rfam family: Bacterial small subunit ribosomal RNA
Source: RNAcentral